RNAcentral lists this transfer RNA (74 nucleotides) under Phycisphaerales bacterium. RNAcentral's name for it is "tRNA-Ile". It matches the Rfam family "tRNA". From Rfam's summary of the family: Transfer RNA (tRNA) molecules are approximately 80 nucleotides in length. Their secondary structure includes four short double-helical elements and three loops (D, anti-codon, and T loops). Lineage: Bacteria; Pseudomonadati; Planctomycetota; Phycisphaerae; Phycisphaerales. The record is from RNAcentral.
GGGCUGGUAGCUCAGCGGUCUAGAGCCAUCGACUCAUAAUCGACAAGACCCCGGUUCGAAUCCGGGCCAGCCCA